Oryctolagus cuniculus (rabbit) is the source of this 1970-nucleotide non-coding RNA. Lineage: Eukaryota; Metazoa; Chordata; Mammalia; Lagomorpha; Leporidae. The record is from RefSeq and is a predicted model, not a curated record.
UUAAAGCGAUGAUGCAGGGCCAACUCCCAUGGAAAACAACGCAGCUACAAAAAGGAUGCAGGCAACGGGAUACACUCAGAAACAGAGCAACCGCUGACACACACAGAGGAGUGAAAAGAGCAGAACACCUGCCAACGGGAACGCUUGUCUGUCUGCGUGAUGUCGGGCAGGUUCCUUUUCCUCUCCGGGCCUUGGGUUCUUCAGAGAAAGCCAGCAAAGACUUCUCCCUGCCUUUCUGAGGCCGGUAACACCUCAGCACCAGGGAAUCCAUCAAUACAUCUUUCAUAAGGGCUCCUCCACACAGUCAGGAGGAAAAUCUUUCCAACGACGCUGGCCUAUUUGUAACUUUGGCCUGAAUAAAAGGAGGGAUUGAUCAGGGCUUGGCGUGCUUCCAGGCCUAGGGAGGCAGGGCCUACAAAUGGAACUUAACUGGGCAGUUGCUCAGGACAGAGCACCCGGCAGGGCGAGGCAUGGCCUCUUAGGUGUGGGCCCUGAAGGACUAAAGAAACUCAGCCUUCCUCUGCUGGGACAGCAAAGCGGCUGCUGUCUGCACAGAAGAGGUUCAAAAGGAGCCACGGUGACGUCUUGAUGUUGGGUGCUCCAGGAGUUUCGGAUCGGUUCCCUCUCUGGGUGCUCGCCAAUGCAGUAGGAGGAGUACAGCCUUGGUGCAGCCGCCAGCCAAUCAGUCGGCACUUCCUAAUCUCCAAUAGGACUGGGGGAGCUUGAAGAUCCCCUCACAAAGCCAAGGGCAUGCAGCAUUGAAAAGGAAAUCCAAUUCCUCCAGACAUAUCCACGGAUCCAAGAUGGUGUCCACGAGCACUCAGUCGGCUGGCAGACGAGGAGAUCUGAGCUCAGCCUCGGUGGCUGCUGCUUGUUACCCCAUGGGUGACCAACUUCUCCCUCUGCCUCCUUUUCCACAAAACUGGGGUGAGGCUGCUCACUUGACAGCAGUGGUUCUCCAUCAGGGCGAGGGGCGAGGACUUUGCCCCUUCUCCUGGUGACCUAUGGAAAAGUUUGGGGACAUUUUUGGCUGUCCCGAAGGCCAGGCCGAGGGUGGUCCCUGUGUCUGGUGGGUAGAGGCCAGGGAGGCUGCCAAACACCCCACCAUGCACAGGUCAGCCCCUUCCCCUGUAUGCAGCCAAGAGUGAUCCGGAUGAAAAUGCCCACAGUGUGCCGACGUUAACCAGACCUGUCGCGAGGGAUGCUGCAGCAAGCACCGGAGAUGAGGAAGCGAGGGGCAGAUCCCAGCUCCAGGCACAGAACGGAAUGAGUUGCUUCCCGCUCUGUAGGAUUCUUCUGCUGCUCACCUCCCUCCCUGACAAGGGAGGCUAGCGUUGCACUACUACAGCCCCUCUCCCUUCCUUCCUCUUGCAUGGUUUUGGGGCAAAGACCGCCACUCUGCUUGCACCCCUGAAAGCUGGGUCGGUCCUAAAGCACCAGUCCUCACCCAAGAUCACCACAGAUGUACAGCCCAGCUUCUUCCACACUUCCUGGGCAUGAGGGCGUGACCAGGACCCCACUUGUCUCUUAAGAUGCAGUUCCUACACGGGAAUAAAUGAGACUGGAAAGCCUAAUUUAAAUCAAGAGUUGCUAUGAGGAUUAGAUGUCAGUAUUCAGUCCAAUCCCUGGCAUAUGGUAGAUGCUCAAGAAAUGAGAUUUCGGCCGGCGCUGCGGCUCACUAGGCUAAUCCUUCGCCUUGCGGCGCCGGCACACCGGGUUCUAGUCCCGGUCCAGGCGCGGGAUUCUGUCCCGGUUGCCCCUCUUCCAGGCCAGCUCUCUGCUGUGGCCCGGGAGUGCAGUGGAGGAUGGCCCAAGUACUUGGGCCCUGCACCCUCAUGGGAGACCAGGAGAAGCACCUGGCUCUUGCCAUCAGAUCAGCGCAGUGCGCCGGCCACAGCACGCCGGCUGCGGCAGCCAUUGGAGGGUGAACCAACGGCAAAGGAAGACCUUUCUCUCUGUCUCUCUCUCUC